AGUAAUGCUUGGGAAUCUAGCUUAUGGAGGAGGAUAACUACGGGAAACUGUAGCUAAUACCGCGUAGAAUCGGGAGAUGAAAGUGUGGGACCUUCGGGCCACAUGCCAUAGGAUGAGCCCAAGUGGGAUUAGGUAGUUGGUGAGGUAAAGGCUCACCAAGCCGACGAUCUCUAGCUGGUCUGAGAGGAUGACCAGCCACACUGGGACUGAGACACGGCCCAG
This 222-nucleotide ribosomal RNA is filed under the name uncultured bacterium. Its description in RNAcentral is "partial 16S ribosomal RNA". It matches the Rfam family "Bacterial small subunit ribosomal RNA", at positions 109 to 334 of the family's 1533-position model. The record is from RNAcentral.